Non-coding RNA from Oryctolagus cuniculus (rabbit), 598 nucleotides. NCBI's taxonomy places the organism in Eukaryota, Metazoa, Chordata, Mammalia, Lagomorpha, Leporidae. The record is from RefSeq and is a predicted model, not a curated record.
GAAUCUUUUACUAUCUAAUCAUGACAUAUGGACCAAAGUUUAUCCAUCCCACAUUAUAUGGGUAAAUUCCCAGGAGUGGGAUUGCUGGGUCAUAUGAUGGAUCUAUUUUCAGAUCUGAGGCGUCUCCAUUCUGCCUUCCACAGUGGCUGCACCAGUUUAUGUUCCCAGCAGCAGUGGAUUAAGGUAAUCUCUGCGUGGCGGUCAGAUGUGCUCCACAUCAGAACAUUCUAGUGCUCAAAAUGAGACAGCACUUUUGCUUUGACAAAGACAGACUUCCAAGCGCCACACUGCACAAGCACAAUUCAUGCCUUUGUUUAUAUCAAGUUAACAUGUUACCAAGUUGACACCAUGUUAGUGUUCAGCUGCUGAAGAAACCAUGUCACUGAGCCCAGAGUAUCUGUGCAGGACACUACACUUCUGCAAUAUUAUCUUAAUUUGAAAAUUAUAUGAUACAUCAUUAAAAAAACAAACAUUAAAAUAUGUUUAUGUACUAGCACUAUGAAUUGAUUAUUUAUGCAAUCCUGAUAAUUAAAGUCAGUGUCUCAUAAUGUCCAAAUCAUAAUAUUCAAAUGGACAGAACAGGGCUUGGAUUCCUAAA